UAAACUGUUCCCUUGGUUUCUUUCUCAACACAAAGGAAACUCUCACUGACUUGACAUGUUCUGGUUUUGAAUUCAGGCUACAAGGGGUCAUUGCUCGAAAAUUAGUCUCUCUGGGGAGAGAGAGGAGAGCGGCCCUGCCUCUAAAAUGAGUCUCUCUGCGGAACAUGACACCAACGUUAAGAGUCCAAUCCAGCAGGAGAGACCAGCCUCCCCUGUUCCCAGCUGUGUGUCCAUGCAGAGUGACCGGUCUAUUAGUCUACCUAUACUGUUUAGAUUGGGAGACCUUUCUGCUGA
Molecule: long non-coding RNA, 294 nt
Organism: Oncorhynchus masou masou (cherry salmon)
Lineage: Eukaryota; Metazoa; Chordata; Actinopteri; Salmoniformes; Salmonidae
Exons: 3
Source: RefSeq, a predicted model, not a curated record